Molecule: non-coding RNA, 233 nt
Organism: Cinara cedri
Lineage: Eukaryota; Metazoa; Arthropoda; Insecta; Hemiptera; Aphididae
Source: the annotation of a GenBank genome assembly
AAUGGUAACUAAUGAUUAUUUAUUUUGUAGUUUCGUCUAUGAUAUAAGUUGAUGACUCAUGGUUUUUAGACUGUUGAUAUGUAUAGGUAAUAAUUUCAUUCAAACUAUGCCAUGUUAAUAGAAUUAUCUUUAGAAUGUUUAGUUAUGCAUUAGUGUCACAUCCGUUACAUAUUUGUUUUUAUUUUAUUUUAACGCCAACAAGAGUACAGGCACAUCAUCAAUACAAUUAAAAU